GGGGAAUAUUGCACAAUGGGCGCAAGCCUGAUGCAGCGACGCCGCGUGAGGGAUGACGGCCUUCGGGUUGUAAACCUCUUUCAGUAGGGAAGAAGCGAAAGUGACGGUACCUGCAGAAGAAGCGCCGGCUAACUACGUGCCAGCAGCCGCGGUAAUACGUAGGGCGCAAGCGUUAUCCGGAAUUAUUGGGCGUAAAGAGCUCGUAGGCGGUUUGUCGCGUCUGCCGUGAAAGUCCGGGGCUCAACUCCGGAUCUGCGGUGGGUACGGGCAGACUAGAGUGAUGUAGGGGAGACUGGAAUUCCUGGUGUAGCGGUGAAAUGCGCAGAUAUCAGGAGGAACACCGAUGGCGAAGGCAGGUCUCUGGGCAUUAACUGACGCUGAGGAGCGAAAGCAUGGGGAGCGAACAGGAUUAGAUACCCUGGUAGUCCAUGCCGUAAACGUUGGGCACUAGGUGUGGGGGACAUUCCACGUUUUCCGCGCCGUAGCUAACGCAUUAAGUGCCCCGCCUGGGGAGUACGGCCGCAAGGCUAAAACUCAAAGGAAUUGACGGGGGCCUGCACAAGCGGCGGAGCAUGCGGAUUAAUUCGAUGCAACGCGAAGAACCUUACCAAGGCUUGACAUGGGCCGGACCGGGCUGGAAACAGUCCUUCCCCUUUGGGGCCGGUUCACAGGUGGUGCAUGGUUGUCGUCGGCUCGUGUCGUGAGAUGUUGGGUUAAGUCCCGCAACGAGCGCAACCCUCGUUCCAUGUUGCCAGCGCGUAAUGGCGGGGACUCAUGGGAGACUGCCGGGGUCAACUCGGAGGAAGGUGGGGACGACGUCAAAUCAUCAUGCCCCUUAUGUCUUGGGCUUCACGCAUGCUACAAUGGCCGGUACAAAGGGUUGCGAUACUGUGAGGUGGAACUAAUCCCAAAAAGCCGGUCUCAGUUCGGAUUGGGGUCUGCAACUCGACCCCAUGAAGUCGGAGUCGCUAGUAAUCGCAGAUCAGCAACGCUGCGGUGAAUACGUUCCCGGGCCUUGUACACACCGCCA
This 1030-nucleotide ribosomal RNA is filed under the name uncultured Arthrobacter sp. RNAcentral describes it as "bacterial SSU rRNA". It matches the Rfam family "Bacterial small subunit ribosomal RNA", at positions 356 to 1395 of the family's 1533-position model. The record is from RNAcentral. Lineage: Bacteria; Bacillati; Actinomycetota; Actinomycetes; Micrococcales; Micrococcaceae.